AUGGGCCCUUACCAUCCCGGGCUACACACGUGCUACAAUGGCAGGUACAGAGGGCUGCGAAGCCGCGAGGUGGAGCGAAUCCCAGAAAACCUGUCUCAGUCCGGAUUGAAGUCUGCAACUCGACUUCAUGAAGGCGGAAUCGCUAGUAACCGCGAAUCAGCAGGUCGCGGUGAAUACGUUCCCGGGCCUU
RNAcentral lists this ribosomal RNA (190 nucleotides) under uncultured Latescibacterota bacterium. RNAcentral's name for it is "uncultured Latescibacteria bacterium partial 16S ribosomal RNA". It matches the Rfam family "Bacterial small subunit ribosomal RNA", at positions 1193 to 1382 of the family's 1533-position model. Lineage: Bacteria; Pseudomonadati; Candidatus Latescibacterota. The record is from RNAcentral.